RNAcentral lists this ribosomal RNA (516 nucleotides) under uncultured microorganism. RNAcentral's name for it is "bacterial SSU rRNA". It matches the Rfam family "Bacterial small subunit ribosomal RNA", at positions 9 to 521 of the family's 1533-position model. The record is from RNAcentral.
GAGUUUGAUCCUGGCUCAGGAUGAACGCUGGCGGCGUGCCUAAUACAUGCAAGUCGAACGCUUCACUUCGGUGAAGAGUGGCGAACGGGUGAGUAAUACAUAAGUAACCUGGCAUCUACAGGGGGAUAACUGAUGGAAACGUCAGCUAAGACCGCAUAGGUGUAGAGAUCGCAUGAACUCUAUAUGAAAAGUGCUACGGGACUGGUAGAUGAUGGACUUAUGGUGCAUUAGCUGGUUGGUGGGGUAACGGGCCUACCAAGGCGACGAUGCGUAGCCGACCUGAGAGGGUGACCGGCCACACUGGGACUGAGACACGGCCCAGACUCCUACGGGAGGCAGCAGUAGGGAAUUUUCGGCAAUGGGGGAAACCCUGACCGAGCAACGCCGCGUGAAGGAAGAAGUAAUUCGUUAUGUAAACUUCUGUCAUAGAGGAAGAACGGUGGAUAUAGGGAAUGAUAUCCAAGUGACGGUACUCUAUAAGAAAGCCACGGCUAACUACGUGCCAGCAGCCGCCGU